GAAGAGGAAUAUACAAUCUGAAAAUUAAGACAAAUAGAUCAAAUCCAGUUAAAGUAAGGCAUGUACUGCUUAAUGGAGGAGGUUCUUGUAAAGCCAGAAUGGACAAAAUAUUAGUAAAUUGCACUAGGGAAAAUCCUGUGCUGCUUGAAUUGACCUUAAUGUCCUUUGCACAACUUCAAAAAAGUACCAGUAUCACAUCGGAGCAGCCACAGAAGCUGAAGCCUGUGCUGGGGAUUUGUCAGGAUUCUGCUGUGGGUCGGUGGCAAGGCUGGGGGUGGCUGCAGGGACACAACAGGCCAGCCUGGGCUUGAGCUGGGCUGGAUCUGCUCUGCUCCUUUGUGUAGCCCCCCACCCCACCCAGUUUCAACAGGGAUGCCCUUCUAAAGAAGAACACAUGAAACCAAUGAAUACUCUUCCAGUGGAGCAGAUUCUUUUCCCAGAACCCGCAAUGAAUCAACAAGUUUCAAGUGAGAUCGAGACUACUUGAGAUUCUUUCAGACUCAGUCAUGCACAUAUGGACGGAUGCCAAUGGAACCAAUGGAAUGUCUCUGGAUAUACAUUCAGUGUGGCUGAGUUGUCCUUUUAAGACAAGCUCGGACUUAAGACUGGGUUGUGGCCUGAACAGAAGAAACCAUCAAUGUACAGACAUGAAGUUCACCAAGACAUGGAAACCACAGUGAAAAGAAGUCCUGAACAAACAUGAACUUCUCUGCAGCCAUGAAGAGGUGUAAUACAAUACAAGGUGGAUGUGUCUGCACUAAAUAAAGCAAGUACCUUGGAUAACAGUGCUGGAGUAACAGCCACGUGAACUUUGAUAAGUAGUUGUUACUCAGGUGAGCAGCCAAAGUUCCAUGGGCCCCUGCUCAGUCAGUUGAGAAUACACUGGGACUGAUAUUUAAGGAACCCAGGUAGCUCUAAUCAUGCUCUAAUCCCAUUUUUGAUUUUGUGAGAGACAUGCCCAUGUAGAGCCUGGGCCAAUUCACAAUGUAGCAGAGGUCUCUGAACUAUUGCACUGAUUGGCACCAAGAGUUUUAGUGCAUCAGUUGUCCCAGAUGAAUCACAGAACUGCUUGGAUUGGAAAAGACCUUUAAGAUUAUCGAAUCCAGCUGUUGAUGCAACACUGCCAAGUCCACUACAUCUUCAUGUCAGCUGGGACCUCCCCAGGGGCCAGGGUACAGGGAAAUGACAAAGGGUGGCUCAGUGAGCACUUCCAGCAGCUCCCUCAGUGGCCUUGGGUGGAUCCCAUCCAGACCUGUGUGUCUAAAAGGUGUAGCAGGUCACUGAUCAUUCCUUCUUGGGUUAUGGGGGCUUCAUUUUGCUCCCUGUCCUCCAGCUCAAGAGAUUGUUUACCUAGAGAACAACUGGCCUUACUAGUAAAGAAUAAGGUAAAGAAGUACCUCAGUCUUCUCCUCAUCCUUUGUCACUUUGUUUUCCCCUGCAUCCACGGAAGGAUGGGGAUUCUCUUUAGCUCUCCUUUUGUUGCCAGUGUAUUUACAGAAACACUUCUUUAUUGUCUUUUACAGCAGUAGGCAGAUUAAGUUCAUAUUGGGUUUUGGCCCUUCUAAUUUUCUCCCUGCAUAACCUCCCAACAUCCUUGCAUGUCACACUGAGGUGUGAAGGGAUUAAGUUGAAAGGCCUGGUUAACACAGACAUGGCACUGGUGACAGAAUUAAGUGCUAAUGAUAUAUAACAAAAUACUAUUACAUGAAACAGGAUCUUUUUCACCCAGUUUUUCUAUUCUGUCUGAUAGGACUAGUAGAAGAAAAUGAAAAACUAUCCAUCAAUCAGAGGUCUGGCUGGGUCAGACACUUUGGUCAAAAAAUGUGAGCAAUUCCACCUACCUGCACUAUAAUUUAUUGCAAAAUUAAUGCUGUAACAUGCAAAGCCAUUGUUUGAUAAAGGUAAUUCUUAUCCUCAGGAAAAGAAAAAAAAGCAAAAUUUGUUUCUUUCUCUCUCUCCCCCCCCCCCCCCCUUUUUUUUUUUCCUAUCCUGACAAGAUGAAACCUAUAUAAUAACUGGGGGGUUGAGGAUGAGCCACUUUUAAUGAUUGAAGAAAGGACCUUGAGCAGGAUUUGAUAGACUUUCUCAAUUGUUGAUAAACCAAGAUAUACUAAGAAAAAAGAUACUACAAAGUGUUAUUUUUUUUAAAGUUUUCCUGCUUUUUUUACAACAGAAUGAAAUUGAGGCUUAGUAGGAAGAAUAAGUUUUGAUACACACUACUGGCUAUGAGAAUUUUCAGGACAGCUUAUUCUUAACCAGGAUAAAAUAUAAUAAUUCUCCAGUUCGUGGUCUUAAUUGCACUGUUGCAAGCUAGGGAGACUAAUGGCAUAUUUUUAUUUUUAAAAUGUUUAAAAUUAUAGUUUGUUAUAAAACAGGUCACUUAUGUCUGGUAUUUGAUUGGCCUUGAUUUCUUCCAAAAAUUAAAUUGUUAUAUUAGCUGUGAGGGUAUUCUGAGGUUUUCAGUAAGUAUCAUACAGACUUCAGACUUCAUCAGAAACCGAGUGAAAAUUUAAAAAUUACCCAAUGCCUCCGGAAUUCGCAGCAAACCCUGACAACACCCUGUUGUGAACCUUAUGAUGGCCAUUCUCCAGAGGGAGAAGCUGAGGUGGUAAGAAAGGAUUUUUCCUUUCCUAGACACUCGUAGCUAUUCCUCCAGCUGCACCUUUUAUUAUUCCUUCCUACGCUUUCCUGGUGCAUGGUGCAUUCUGCUGUGCAAUGUGAAGAGGAGCAAAAUCUCAUAAAACUCCAGGGAGCAAAAAAAGGAAAGAGCAUCUCUCACCUAUCCAUUGCUCUUUCUCUUGGUGUGCCUCAUGAAUAGUUUGAAAGAUGCUGAAACAGAUGAGAUUCUUUACCUGCUCUCUAUUCCACCACUCCAUUCCUCCAUCUCUUUUUCAUAGAUACAGUGAAACUGAUACCAGCAGUUGCAGGUGGGAUAACAGGAGGAGGUAGAGUUGUUCCUUGCAGAGGAUUUACCCAUGUUGUGUGCUGUUUCUUUGGGAUUGCCUGAAUAAGAAUAGAUUUAGGAGAGGGGAAACUCUGACUAGAAUGAAUCUGAAUAAGAAGCAAAGGAGUAGGGAGCAAGUGCUGCAGUUGUAAAGCAUCUCCAUGUGGGUUGCUGCAAUACAGAAUUUUGGAUUUUUUUCAUUAUAGGUUUAUUUAGUCUGAUAGGUAUUUGAACACUGUGGUGAAAUAGAACUCCUGUCUAAAUUUUGUCAUUUAUGUUAACUGAUUUUAGGAGAAAAAGAGGUACACUGAAGACCAGGAGCUAAAUCAAGGGUGUUAAUAUAAUUAAUUUAAUCUUUAAAUAAUAUAAAUAUAUUAAAUUUAUAUAUUGACAGAUGACUUUCCAGGAUAAAAGGCAAAAAAUACAGAUAAAAUACUAUAUAAAAUACAACUAAUCAAUUAGAAGAUAAUUUAUGAUAGUUUUGCAUUUUGACGAAGGUGAGGCAACCACACACAGCAGUAAUACGGUUUAUAUUUCAAAUAAUAUCUCAGUAAAAAAUAUACAAUGGGAAAAAAUACCACAAAGAUUUUGUCAUUGCCAAAUCUUUCUUUCCUGUAUUGUUUCUUUUGAAACUUACACUGAGGGGUUGCAGUCUGCAAUAUCUGGUGACCUGCAUAAACUUGUAUAGCAGCUACUGUAGUGGUGUGAUUCUAUUAUCCAGACUUCACAACUUACCUGCUGAGAACUUCCAAGAAAUGAUGUUAUGGUACAAGCAAUCCAGUGUGGGAGUUUUUUUUGUGUGUUUUUUUUUUUUUUCCUGGUUUUCCUACAAAUAUUAUUGUGGGGACCUUCAAGCGUACAAUCUCCACCUGUGAGUGUGUAUACAUGGAAUUGCACCUGAAAUUGGGUACCUGCAAACACCUGCAGAACUAAGAAUAGUUUCCAUUUUAUCUAACUAAGCCUUUCUGUCAUCUAACACCCACAUGCUGACUGCCCUAAAAGUUUGCUGCCACAAAGCUGGUCUGGACCUGCUUAAGAAGACACAGGCACAAGAUUUUGAUUUGCAUUCCUGAACUUUGCAGAGUCUGGACAGAACUUUCAGCAAGUGGAUCUUAACAGCCUCAUGUGGUUAUCACAUUUCAGGGAUUUAAAGGGUAUGUGUGACUCUCACCAGUUUUUCUGGUGUAGUAUCCUGGUCAAGGUCUGCAUUUUUUCAGGAUAGCAUCAUGGUGCAGGGAUCGUGCAGUUACCUAGUGAAGCACCACUUGAAAAUCCUUGCCAAAAUUCCCUGGAGUAGUUUAGGAAAAGUAUCAGAUGGAUCCUGUGCUGUCCCUGGUAGGCAGGUACAAGUACAGGUGUUGGAAACCUCUCCUGGAGGUGCCAUGCUGCCAACUGCAGGAUUCAAAAGAAGUUUUCUCUUUCACAAGAGCUUUCACCCAUGCAGCUCCCAUUGCAGGGUAAGCUCCUUGCUUUUAGGUAAUGCCUAUUUCAUCUGCUGUAAAGACACACAUGAAAAAGGGGCUGGCAUUAGCCACAUAUCCAUAAAAGCCUCGUAGCCAAGAGUAUUAUCUUUAUUCAGAAGAAGUAUAGCACUUUCAAGGUUCAGAAACAUAUAUAAAAAUUGGGUUCUGAAAUGGUCAUUUUUCCCCUCUGCUAUGCCAUUAUAGCGAUCAGCCAAGCUUCUGCAAGGUAAAUACUUUUGGAAAAUAAGUGGAAAUUUGCUGCAAAUCAGUCCCUUUUGUGCAUGGCCACAGGAGCAUGUUGAAAUGUUUGGACACUAAUACCCAUUCAUUUUCUUGGCUCCAUAAAUAAAAGCCGCCAGCUAUGUGGCGGCCGUGAAAUGGUAUUCUUCAGGACCCAGCAGGAAGCCCCAUCCUUAUUACCACUGCAGGGGGCAGGACAGGCCCAAAAUAGCAAGACAACUAAAUCAAGACAUUUUCAAUGUCUAACAAAAUGACUGUGGUUUAGAGAGAAGCAAAAGGUUGGAAAAAAUUGGACAGCUUUUAUACUUAGCAUAAUACCUUUGUUAAAAGAGUUCAGAUAAGAAAAUCAGAUCUCAAAAAAAAAAAAGGCAUAAGUAUAUUUCUGAAUAUAAUUUAAAAUAUGCAAAGACCUGAUGGAACCAGAGACAGAGCAUGGUGCUAUCUGAAAGGACAUCUUGUUCAAGUCAUAUUUUCCAAAUGGUAGCCCAUGGUUCCCAGUAAAUAGUGUCUUCUGGCAAUAUUGUUUGGUUUGGAUGGAACUGAAAGGUUUGAUAAGAGACACUGGAAUUUUGUCAGGAAAAUUCGAAAUUUCUUUUGGUCUACAAAAAUUGUAAAAAAAUACAAUAAUUACAUGGAGGAAAAGUUUUGGACUAAACUCUUCAUUUUUUUCUACAGGUUUACUUAAUUUUUAUGGGUUUGCUACACCAGGCAAUAGGAUGCUAGAUUUUGGUAUAAAAACAUUUUGAAGGGUCUCAGUCAAAAUAAAUAUGAUGGUGUAACUUGAUGUUUUACAUAGCUGAACUGUGCUGAUCUGGGAAAAUAUUAAAGUAGUUUUAAAAACUGGACUUCAGUUAAACGGCGUAUUUUAAGUGUACAGAAGAUCAGUUCUGGAGGUAUUUUGUGUAAGAUAAUAAAAGAUUACACUGUUGAGGUUUUAAUGAAUUCACAGUUCAUUGCUGUAGUCCAAAACUAGUGUUUCAUUCUCUACAACUACACCACUAAAAUAGAUAUGGGAGAAAUGUUAUUUUUAUUUUAAUUUUAUUCAUUUGUGAUUCUGAUUAUAAAUUUGCUUAAACAAAGUUGAAUUAAGGAUAUGCCUGACAUUCACAUUUCAGUGAGUAUAUAUAUGUGUAUAUAUAUAUGAAUUUAUAUUUAUACAUACAAGUUUCCACACAUUUUGGGGAAUUAAGACAGUUACUUGGAAUGUCUUAUUAUAGAAGGAAAUAUUCAGUGUUAGUAUCAAGAGAAAAUAACCAUUUUACCUGAACAUUAAAUUUACCUGAACUGCAGAGGAGAAAUUACUAAGGUACAAA
Molecule: long non-coding RNA, 5960 nt
Filed under: Taeniopygia guttata (zebra finch)
Lineage: Eukaryota; Metazoa; Chordata; Aves; Passeriformes; Estrildidae
Description: lncRNA (ENSTGUG00000024206.1)
Source: RNAcentral